UAGCAUUCAAAGUUGGAAUGGUUCGACCUACCACCUCUUUGACCACGUCCUCUGCCACGCCAAUUUUGCUGGAUCGACUGUCCUCUCUCGAAGUUGCUGCCUCUACCACUUCGACCAUUGUCACGUCCUCCACGACCACGUCCUCUUCCUCGAAAGUUUUGAGAAAAAAGUACCUUUUCGUCUUUGAUUUGCUCCUUGGUUUGAUUU
Molecule: long non-coding RNA, 207 nt
Filed under: Lathyrus oleraceus (garden pea)
Lineage: Eukaryota; Viridiplantae; Streptophyta; Magnoliopsida; Fabales; Fabaceae
Description: Pisum sativum (pea) long non-coding RNA (PSAT_LNC028091)
Source: RNAcentral